GAUGAACGCUAGCGGGAGGCUUAACACAUGCAAGUCGAGGGGCAGCACAGGUAGCAAUACUGGGUGGCGACCGGCGGAUGGGUGCGUAACGCGUAUGCAACCUACCAUUGAUUGGGGCAUAGCCCGAAGAAAUUCGGAUUAAUACUCCAUAAUAUUCAUCAAAGGCAUCUUUUAUGAAUUAAAGCUUUUGCGAUCAAUGAUGGGCAUGCGUGACAUUAGUUAGUUGGUGAGGUAACGGCUCACCAAAACGGUGAUGUCUAGGGGUUCUGAGAGGAUUAUCCCCCACACUGGUACUGAGACACGGACCAGACUCCUACGGGAGGCAGCAGUGAGGAAUAUUGGUCAAUGGACGCAAGUCUGAACCAGCCAUGCCGCGUGCAGGAUGACGGCCCUAUGGGUUGUAAACUGCUUUUCCACGGGAAGAACCCUCCGACGUGUCGGAGACUGACGGUACCGUGGGAAUAAGCAUCGGCUAACUCCGUG
This 483-nucleotide ribosomal RNA is filed under the name uncultured bacterium. RNAcentral describes it as "bacterial SSU rRNA". It matches the Rfam family "Bacterial small subunit ribosomal RNA", at positions 28 to 507 of the family's 1533-position model. The record is from RNAcentral.